GACGAACGCUGGCGGCGUGCCUAAUACAUGCAAGUAGAACGCACAGUUUAUACCGUAGCUUGCUACACCAUAGACUGUGAGUUGCGAACGGGUGAGUAACGCGUAGGUAACCUGCCUGGUAGCGGGGGAUAACUAUUGGAAACGAUAGCUAAUACCGCAUAAUAUUAAUUAUUGCAUGAUAAUUAAUUGAAAGGUGCAAUUGCACCACUACCAGAUGGACCUGCGUUGUAUUAGCUAGUAGGUGAGGUAACGGCUCACCUAGGCGACGAUACAUAGCCGACCUGAGAGGGUGAUCGGCCACACUGGGACUGAGACACGGCCCAGGCUCCUACGGGAGGCAGCAGUAGGGAAUCUUCGGCAAUGGACGAAAGUCUGACCGAGCAACGCCGCGUGAGUGAAGAAGGUUUUCGGAUCGUAAAGCUCUGUUGUAAGAGAAGAACGGGUGUGAGAGUGGAAAGUUCACACUGUGACGGUAUCUUACCAGAAAGGGACGGCUAACUACGUG
Molecule: ribosomal RNA, 505 nt
Filed under: uncultured bacterium
Lineage: Bacteria
Description: partial 16S ribosomal RNA
Rfam family: Bacterial small subunit ribosomal RNA
Source: RNAcentral